This 204-nucleotide ribosomal RNA is filed under the name uncultured bacterium. Its description in RNAcentral is "partial 16S ribosomal RNA". It matches the Rfam family "Bacterial small subunit ribosomal RNA", at positions 328 to 540 of the family's 1533-position model. The record is from RNAcentral.
ACGCUCGACACCUACGGGAGGUAGCAGUGGGGAAGUAGUUGCACAAUGGGGGAAACCCGUGGAUGCAGCGACGCCGCGUGAGCGAAGAAGUAUUCGGUAUGUAAAGCUCUAUCAGCAGGGAAGAAACUAGAACGGUACCUGACUAAGAAGCACCGGCUAAAUACGUGCCAGCAGCCGCGGUAAUCUGAGCGGGCGUGCGAAGGC